AUUGAACGCUGGCGGCAGGCCUAACACAUGCAAGUCGAGCGGAUGAAGGGAGCUUGCUCCUGGAUUCAGCGGCGGACGGGUGAGUAAUGCCUAGGAAUCUGCCUGGUAGUGGGGGAUAACGUCCGGAAACGGGCGCUAAUACCGCCUACGUCCUGAGGGAGAAAGUGGGGGAUCUUCGGACCUCACGCUAUCAGAUGAGCCUAGGUCGGAUUAGCUAGUUGGUGGGGUAAAGGCCUACCAAGGCGACGAUCCGUAACUGGUCUGAGAGGAUGAUCAGUCACACUGGAACUGGGACACGGUCCAGACUCCUACGGGAGGCAGCAGUGGGGAAUAUUGGACAAUGGGCGAAAGCCUGAUCCAGCCAUGCCGCGUGUGUGAAGAAGGUCUUCGGAUUGUAAAGCACGUUAAGUUGGGAGGAAGGGCAGUAAGUUAAUACCUUGCUGUUUUGACGUUACCAACAGAAUAAGCACCGGCUAACUUCGUG
This 484-nucleotide ribosomal RNA is filed under the name uncultured bacterium. RNAcentral's name for it is "partial 16S ribosomal RNA". It matches the Rfam family "Bacterial small subunit ribosomal RNA", at positions 30 to 507 of the family's 1533-position model. The record is from RNAcentral.